This is a non-coding RNA of Streptomyces sp. IB2014 011-1, 81 nucleotides long. Lineage: Bacteria; Bacillati; Actinomycetota; Actinomycetes; Kitasatosporales; Streptomycetaceae. The record is from Rfam.
ACCUGUUCCCGCGGCCCGACGUGGCCCGCGGGGCGACGGACACACACUGUGCCUGGGAAGAACUGGGCACUUCAGGGCGUU